RNAcentral lists this ribosomal RNA (253 nucleotides) under uncultured bacterium. Its description in RNAcentral is "partial 16S ribosomal RNA". It matches the Rfam family "Bacterial small subunit ribosomal RNA", at positions 524 to 776 of the family's 1533-position model. The record is from RNAcentral.
UACGAAGGGGGCUAGCGUUGCUCGGAAUCACUGGGCGUAAAGCGCACGUAGGCGGCUUUUUAAGUCAGGAGUGAAAUCCUGGAGCUCAACUCCAGAACUGCCUUUGAUACUGGGAAGCUUGAGUCCGGGAGAGGUGAGUGGAACUCCGAGUGUAGAGGUGAAAUUCGUAGAUAUUCGGAAGAACACCAGUGGCGAAGGCGGCUCACUGGCCCGGUACUGACGCUGAGGUGCGAAAGCGUGGGGAGCAAACAGG